UACGUAGGGGGCAAGCGUUAUCCGGAUUUACUGGGUGUAAAGGGAGCGUAGGCGGCGACGCAAGUCAGAAGUGAAAGCCCGGGGCUCAACUCCGGGACUGCUUUUGAAACUGCGUUGCUAGAUUGCGGGAGAGGCAAGUGGAAUUCCUAGUGUAGCGGUGAAAUGCGUAGAUAUUAGGAGGAACACCAGUGGCGGAGGCGGCUUACUGGACGGCAACUGACGGUGAGGCGCGAAAGCGUGGGGAGCAAACAGG
RNAcentral lists this ribosomal RNA (253 nucleotides) under uncultured Coprococcus sp. RNAcentral describes it as "partial 16S ribosomal RNA". It matches the Rfam family "Bacterial small subunit ribosomal RNA", at positions 524 to 776 of the family's 1533-position model. Lineage: Bacteria; Bacillati; Bacillota; Clostridia; Lachnospirales; Lachnospiraceae. The record is from RNAcentral.